Molecule: ribosomal RNA, 460 nt
Filed under: uncultured bacterium
Lineage: Bacteria
Description: partial 16S ribosomal RNA
Rfam family: Bacterial small subunit ribosomal RNA
Source: RNAcentral
CCUACGGGCGGCUGCAGUGAGGAAUAUUGGUCAAUGGACGAGAGCCUGAACCAGCCAAGUAGCGUGCAGGAUGAAUGCCCUAUGGGUUGUAAACUUCUUUUAUAUGGGAAUAAAAUGUUCCACGUGUGGGGUUUUGUAUGUACCAUAUGAAUAAGGGCCGGCUAACUCCGUGCCAGCAGCCGCGGUAAUACGGAGGGGCCGAGCGUUAUCCGGAUUUAGUGGGUUUAAAGGGAGCGUAGGGGGAUUGUUAAGUCAGUUGUGAAAGUUGGCGGCUCAACCGGAAAAGUGCAGUUGAAACUGGAAGUCUUGAGUACAGUAGAGGUAGGCGGAAUUCGUGGUGUAGCGGUGAAAUGCUUAGAUAUCACGAAGAACCCCGAUUGCGAAGGCAGUUCACUGGACUGCAACUGACACUGAGGCUCGAAGGUGUGGGUAUCAAACAGGAUUAGAUACCCUGGUAGUC